RNAcentral lists this ribosomal RNA (775 nucleotides) under uncultured Neocallimastigales. Its description in RNAcentral is "partial large subunit ribosomal RNA". It matches the Rfam family "Eukaryotic large subunit ribosomal RNA", at positions 24 to 639 of the family's 3401-position model. Lineage: Eukaryota; Fungi; Neocallimastigomycota; Neocallimastigomycetes; Neocallimastigales. The record is from RNAcentral.
GCAUCUGUGCAUGCAGCAUAUCAAUAAGCGGAGGAAAAGAAACUAACAAGGAUUCCCUUAGUAACGGCGAGUGAAGCGGGAAGAGCUCAAAUUUGAAAUCUUCAAGGUUUUACCUUGACGAAUUGUAGUUUAAAGAAGUGUUUUCUGUUGAAGUUUUGGUAAAAGUUCUUUGGAAUAGGACAUCAUAGAGGGUGAGAAUCCCGUAUUUGACCAUUAUUUUCAGCUGUGUGAUACACUUUCAAAGAGUCGGAUUGUUUGGGAAUGCAGUCCAAAAUGGGUGGUAAAUUUCAUCUAAAGCUAAAUAUUGGCGAAGAGACCGAUAGCGAACAAGUACCGUGAGGGAAAGAUGAAAAGAACUUUGAAAAGAGAGUUAAACAGUACGUGAAAUUGUCAAAAGGGAAGCGUUUGACACCAGUGUUGUUUUCUCGAAAAUCAAUUAAAAAGAGUUAGAUUUUGUUGUGUAUUGACCUUAACAGCUUGCAUUUCAAUUUUCUUGCUUUUUUUAAUGCACUUUUCGUUUAACAAGUCAACAUCAGUUUCUUUUGUUGUAAAAAGGUCAUUGGAAGGUGGCUUUCUUUUCGGAGAAAGUGUUUAUAGCCUUUGACUCCUGCAAUCGGGAGAGACUGAGGUCUGCAGCGUAGAUCCUUCGGGGUUAGAUACAUUUGUGCUAAGUUAUAGCUUUUUAUAGACAACUUGUUGACUAUGAUUAGUCUUGUAGCUUACUCGCUUAUGCUAUUUUACCUACGCUUAGGAUGUUGACGCGCGUGUGUGCGUG